RNAcentral lists this ribosomal RNA (253 nucleotides) under uncultured bacterium. RNAcentral's name for it is "partial 16S ribosomal RNA". It matches the Rfam family "Bacterial small subunit ribosomal RNA", at positions 524 to 776 of the family's 1533-position model. The record is from RNAcentral.
UACAGAGGUCCCAAGCGUUGUUCGGAUUCACUGGGCGUAAAGGGUGCGUAGGUGGUUGGGUAAGUUUGAUGUGAAAUCUCCGGGCUUAACCCGGAAAUGGCAUUGAAUACUAUUCGACUGGAGGGUUGGAGGGGGGACUGGAAUUCUCGGUGUAGCAGUGAAAUGCGUAGAUAUCGAGAGGAACACCAGUGGCGAAGGCGAGUCCCUGGACAACUCCUGACACUGAGGCACGAAAGCUAGGGGAGCAAACAGG